GACGAGCGCUGGCGGCGUGCUUAACACAUGCAAGUCGAACGGUAACGCCCUUCGGGGUACACGAGAGUCGAAAGGGGGAGUAACACGCGGGUGAUCUGCCCUGCACUUCGGGAUAAGCCUGGGAAACGGGGGGCAAUACCGGCUAGGACCACAGCGUGCAUAGGUGGGGGUGGAAAGCUUUUGGGGUGUGGGAUGGGCCAGGGGCCUAUAAGGUUGUUGGUGGGGUGAUGGCCUACCAAGGCGACGAGGGGUAGCCGGCCUGGGAGGGUGACCGGCCACACUGGGACUGAGAUACGGCGCAGUCUCCUAUGGGAGGCAGUAGUGGGGAAUAUUGUACAAUGGGGGCUAGUCUGAUGCAGCGACGCCGCGUGAGGGAUGACGUCCUUCGGGUUGUAAACCUCUUUCAGCAACGACGAAGCGCAAGUGACGGUAGGUGCAGAAGAAGGACCGGCCAACUACGUGCCAGCCGCCGCAGUAA
This 478-nucleotide ribosomal RNA is filed under the name uncultured bacterium. Its description in RNAcentral is "partial 16S ribosomal RNA". It matches the Rfam family "Bacterial small subunit ribosomal RNA", at positions 28 to 523 of the family's 1533-position model. The record is from RNAcentral.